This is a long non-coding RNA of Apteryx rowi (Okarito brown kiwi), 1998 nucleotides long. The record is from Ensembl. Lineage: Eukaryota; Metazoa; Chordata; Aves; Apterygiformes; Apterygidae.
GAAGGCGGGGGGAGUGAGUCACUGGGAGGAACCAUGGGGCGGAAGGGAGAGCGGCCUGAGGGGGGGCGAAACCAUUCGCUCCAGGGAGAGGGGAAGACCAGAGAAAUGAGGCUGAUAGAGGGUAAAAACACUCAAAGAGGAUAUCCUUCCCCCCCUCAGUCUCAGAGAGAGACCCCUAAGGCAGCACUUUAUGCCGUCYUUGGGCCGCCUUGUUUCCCCCGGCGGUAUCCUCAUCGACCUCUUUCACUUCAGUGAAAGAAUCAGUGGAGAAAGGAGAGGUGCAGACCAGACAGCCCCAGAGGAAACUAUUGGAAAGUACCUGUGUGGGAGGCAGAGGCAGAAAUUAGACAAAAGACAUCGUGCUGCUGGUGUUAACUCCCAAACCUACAUAGGUAAGAAAUACUGCAGUGGUCCCUUGUUAAGGCAGUGUUGGACUCUGGUAGCCUGGGUGACAACAGGUGACUUUACUGUCCCUCAGUUGCUGCUGAGCACAGUUUGCAGACACAGCCAGACACGGCAAGUCUGGGUUCCCAAAGGAAUCUUCCAAGUGAGACACACAGUGUAGAUGAGUCCUGGCCUCUGGAUCCUUCUUGCAGGGAAACUGUGGCAUUGAGGGCUCAGACAAAGCUCCCUCUUCCUGCCAGUUGCCACUUGCUGGAAUGGCUCCCGGGGACCGUCUCACUUUUCUUAUAAAGGUCGAUUGUCCGUGACUGCUCAGACUUGUGCUCAGGAGGACGAAGAGGCUGGCAGCAUUUCAGCCCCCCCCAGCCCCUGACCUAUCCCACUUCCUCUCCUCCCAAGACUUACAGCCCCUGCUGGCACUGCUCGAGCCCCCUCUGCUUCACCCCCUCCGCAAGGGCAGUCUCCAGAGCUCUAGGGAGCACUGUCACAUAAAUGCUCAGGAAGAAGAAAGCAGGGGCUUAUUUAGAGGUGAAGGCUGGUUAUUCUCUACUAUUAUCACCAGCAUCUGCCCCUUCUGAACAAGGGAGCCCUCCCCCCACCAGCCCUUUCACCAGUGAGCUGAAUGUGGCCAUGCUCUGCUUUGUUUGUCUGACGUGCUGCAAUGGCUGCAAAGUCCCAUUCUCCCCUUUUUUCCCCUCCGCUCCCGGAAGAGCCUGCGUGGCUGCUGCAAGAGCAGGGAGCUCGGAGCACCAUGGAGCAGGGGAGCUGACAAUCAGGGCUGGGAGACAACACGCUGCCUGCACAAUACCCCCCCAAUUAGCCAUUCAUUUGCGCUCCCUCUGAAAUGGGGAGCACAGCCCUUGUGCUGGGAGAUAAAACAAGAACGGCUUCAAUAGCGCUGAUUUAAAUUAGGUCAGGCUAGCUUUUGUGUGGCGGGGACUGCACAAUAGCAGUCACACGACUGUGGAGGGGAGCAGCAUAAAGGAAAGGAGGCCAAGCGAGUGGCACAGAUGCUGGGAGUUGGUGGGUGCUGGGAGAUGAGGGGUGUAAGUACGUGAGUGAGAGCGGAGGGGCAGAUACGACAACCAGCGCAUGAUGCUAAUACAUAAAAGGGGCCACACGGUCUGCAGGGAACAGAGGGGUUAAAUAGCGGCUGUGUAGAAAGAAACACCACCUUGUCCUGCCACACCAAGGGGCAGGAGAGCGUAGCCACCUGCAUCCUUGAGAAACUGGUCUUUAAUCAUAACUGGUUAUGGGGCAAAGGGGUGACAAUGAUGUUGACCCAUGGCGUCCCCCCGAGCACUAGCGCAAGCCUUGUCAAUCUUACAGAGUGGAAGGGGACGGUGUUGCCCAGGGCAUGCAAUUCCUUUCCCUCAGAACUUCUUCUAAAGGUCCAUACCCAGCCUGAACACCUGAUGUGCUAUGAAAUCCCACACGCAGCUCUUUGUCAAUUGGUGGGUUUGGGCAAAAUCAGCAGCUCCUUCAAAAUGAUCUCCUAACCCAGGCUCUCAAAGACAUCUAAGUGUCUGACGGCCUUCAGAGAGAGAUCCUGGAGAUGGUUGCCCAGGAGAAUAAAGGCACUGGAAGCUAGUCCCA